UACAGAGGCCUCGAGCGUUAGGCGGAAUCACUGGGCUUAAAGCGUGUGUAGGCGGAUCGUUAAGUACCUUGUGAAAUCCCACGGCUCAACCGUGGAACUGCUUGGUAUACUGGCGAUCUUGUGCCACCUAGGGGCGAGCGGAACAGAUGGUGGAGCGGUGAAAUGCGUAGAUAUCAUCUGGAACGCCAAUGGUGAAAACAGCUCGCUGGGGGUGUGCAGACGCUGAGACACGAAAGCCAGGGGAGCGAACGGG
This 253-nucleotide ribosomal RNA is filed under the name uncultured bacterium. Its description in RNAcentral is "partial 16S ribosomal RNA". It matches the Rfam family "Bacterial small subunit ribosomal RNA", at positions 524 to 776 of the family's 1533-position model. The record is from RNAcentral.